UUUUGGACAAUGGGGGCAACCCUGAUCCAGCAAUGCCGCGUGAGUGAAGAAGGCCUUCGGGUUGUAAAGCUCUUUUGUCAGGGAAGAAACACCGGCUCUAACACAGUCCGGGAAUGACGGUACCUGAAGAAUAAGCACCGGCUAACUACGUGCCAGCAGCCGCGGUAAUACGUAGGGUGCGAGCGUUAAUCGGAAUUACUGGGCGUAAAGCGUGCGCAGGCGGUUAUACAAGACAGGCGUGAAAUCCCCGGGCUUAACCUGGGAAUGGCGCCUGUGACUGUAUAGCUAGAGUGUGUCAGAGAGGGGUAGAAUUCCACGUGUAGCAGUGAAAUGCGUAGAUAUGUGGAGGAAUACCAAUGGCGAAGGCAGCCCCCUGGGAUGAUACUGACGCUCAUGCACGAA
RNAcentral lists this ribosomal RNA (402 nucleotides) under uncultured bacterium. Its description in RNAcentral is "bacterial SSU rRNA". It matches the Rfam family "Bacterial small subunit ribosomal RNA", at positions 362 to 757 of the family's 1533-position model. The record is from RNAcentral.